CAGAUCUCACCUUCAUUGUGAUCUGUUGUGUUGCUGUUGGAUGUCUGAUGAUUGUAGCUUCAGUUUUGAUCUUCUGCAUCUACAGGAAACACACAAACACAAAUCAAAAGGUUCCUAAAACUGUUAAAAACAGAUGGAUGGAAUUUACCGAAAUCACUUACAAGAUCACACAUUCUGUAAAAGAGCAGCAGAUAAACUGCACUUGGUGAUGUCUUAACAGAACAGUCACCUAAAAUAAGUCCCAAAGACAUCAAGAAUCGGAAUAUGAAUCUCAACAAUGGUGACAAUAACAAGAGAAAGCGUCAUGCUGAAAUCCAUGAAUGUUUUUUAUACUGUUAUACCACUGGCUGUUAAAUGCUUUAUUCUGAUUGGUUAAGAGAAUGUUCCAUGCGUGUUGAUUAUUUUUCUGUAAACCGCACACCUAACUUAUCAAAUGUCUUAUAAUAACCACCAGACCAAUGUUUGUGGUAACUGUGGUAUAAGCAGAAUAAUCGACUCUGGUCCUUUCAAUUAUUAGAAAAUAAUGCACACCCGCUUUGUGUCGUGGCGCAUUACCACCUGGGUGUGCAUUAUUUUCAAAUAAUUCAAAGGACUUGAGUCAAUUAAUCCUUACAUGUUACCCAGCAUGCAUUGCAGCAUGCAUUUUUAUUUUGUUUUAAAUGAUGUUUUAAAUUAGUUUUUCUUUUGUUUUAAAUUAUAUUUGAAAUUAAUUUUUCUUUUGUUUUAAAUUAUGUUAAUAGACGGUCGUUUAAAGAAAGACAGAACUGUACAUUAUCAGAAACAACUAAAGUAUUUGAUUUAAAACACAUACUAUGUCUAUUUUUUUAUUUUCUCACUGAAUGCAUCUGACACAUUAACAGGUUAAUUUUUUUAUUUUCUCACUGAAUGCAUCUGACACAUUAACAGGUUCAUUCGGGUUCAUGUGAAGCCUGAUGUAGAAAGAAAUGUGGUUUUGUUGUACUGGUGGACAUGAGAUGUGUGUUUGUGGUUAAUGUGCAUAUGUGUGUGUAUGUGAGAGGUGUGAACAGUGUGUGUCUUUUUUGCUCUCCUGCUAAUAUUUUUUACUCUACACAAAGCUGCUUUACAAUGUAAUAUUUAAUUCACCUAUGCUAAUGUUAAACAAAUAAAAGAUUGC
Non-coding RNA from Misgurnus anguillicaudatus (oriental weatherfish), 1135 nucleotides. Lineage: Eukaryota; Metazoa; Chordata; Actinopteri; Cypriniformes; Cobitidae. The record is from RefSeq and is a predicted model, not a curated record.